This 520-nucleotide ribosomal RNA is filed under the name Amynthas sp. GD201108-15. RNAcentral describes it as "partial 16S ribosomal RNA". It matches the Rfam family "Bacterial large subunit ribosomal RNA", at positions 1805 to 2623 of the family's 2925-position model. The record is from RNAcentral. Lineage: Eukaryota; Metazoa; Annelida; Clitellata; Crassiclitellata; Megascolecidae.
UUUUCAAAACAUUGUCUUAUGAAACAAAAUAUUAGAUAAUACCUGCCCAGUGACAUAUGUUCAACGGCCGCGGUAUCCUAACCGUGCAAAGGUAGCAUAAUCAUUUGCCUAUUAAUUGUAGGCUAGAAUGAACGGGUUAACGAAAUAAAAGCUGUCUCAAUUAAUUUCAUAAAAAUUAUUCUCUAUUCGAAGAAAAAUAGAUAAUCUCGAAGGACAAGAAGACCCUAUAGAGCUUAAUUUUAACUAUAGAAUUAUACUAUAUAAAUAUUCGGUUGGGGCGACCCAGGGCUAAAUAAUCACCCAUUAAAUAAAAGAUAAAUAAAUCUACCUAAUGACCCUUUAAAGAUCAUAAAAACAAGCUACCUUAGGGAUAACAGGCUAAUCCCACUUAAGAGUCCUUAUCAAUAGUGGGGUUUGGCACCUCGAUGUUGGCUUAGGGUAUCUCUAUAGCGCAAAAGUUAUAUAAAGAUGGUUUGUUCAACCAGUAAUUCCCUACGUGAUCUGUUUUAAAACCCGGAUG